UGGGGAAUCUUCCGCAAUGGACGAAAGUCUGACGGAGCAACGCCGCGUGAGUGAAGACGGCCUUCGGGUUGUAAAGCUCUGUGAUUCGGGACGAAAGGCCAUAUGUGAAUAAUAUAUGGAAAUGACGGAACCGAAAAAGCAAGCCACGGCUAACUACGUGCCAGCAGCCGCGGUAAUACGUAGGUGGCAAGCGUUGUCCGGAAUUAUUGGGCGUAAAGCGCGCGCAGGCGGUCACUUAAGUCCAUCUUAGAAGUGCGGGGCUUAACCCCGUGAUGGGAUGGAAACUGGGAGACUGGAGUAUCGGAGAGGAAAGUGGAAUUCCUAGUGUAGCGGUGAAAUGCGUAGAUAGUAGGAAGAACACCGGUGGCGAAGGCGACUUUCUGGACGAAAACUGACGCUGAGGCGCGAAAGCGUGGGGAGCAAACAGG
Molecule: ribosomal RNA, 428 nt
Filed under: Verrucomicrobiota bacterium
Lineage: Bacteria; Pseudomonadati; Verrucomicrobiota
Description: Verrucomicrobia bacterium partial 16S ribosomal RNA
Rfam family: Bacterial small subunit ribosomal RNA
Source: RNAcentral